This 492-nucleotide ribosomal RNA is filed under the name uncultured bacterium. Its description in RNAcentral is "partial 16S ribosomal RNA". It matches the Rfam family "Bacterial small subunit ribosomal RNA", at positions 29 to 507 of the family's 1533-position model. The record is from RNAcentral.
AGUGAACGCUGGCGGUAGGCCUAACACAUGCAAGUCGAACGGCAGCACAGUAAGAGCUUGCUCUUACGGGUGGCGAGUGGCGGACGGGUGAGGAAUACAUCGGAAUCUACUUUUUCGUGGGGGAUAACGUAGGGAAACUUACGCUAAUACCGCAUACGACCUACGGGUGAAAGCAGUGGAUCUUCGGACCUUGCGCGAUUGAAUGAGCCGAUGUCGGAUUAGCUAGUUGGCGGGGUAAAGGCCCACCAAGUCGACGAUCGGUAGCUGGUCUGAGAGGAUGAUCAGCCACACUGGAACUGAGACACGGUCCAGAGUCCUACGGGAGGCAGCAGUGGGGAAUAUUGGACAAUGGGCGCAAGCCUGAUCCAGCCAUACCGCGUGGGUGAAGAAGGCCUUCGGGUUGUAAAGCCCUUUUGUUGGGAAAGAAAAGCAGCAGGUUAAUACCCCGCUGUUCUGACGGUACCCAAAGAAUAAGCACCGGCUAACUUCGUG